Molecule: ribosomal RNA, 484 nt
Filed under: uncultured bacterium
Lineage: Bacteria
Description: partial 16S ribosomal RNA
Rfam family: Bacterial small subunit ribosomal RNA
Source: RNAcentral
GAUGAACGCUGGCGGCGUGCUUAACACAUGCAAGUCGAACGGAAACAGGAUGAAGCCUAGCGAUUCCUGUUUUAGUGGCGGACGGGUGAGUAACGCGUGGGUAACCUGCCUUACACUGGGGGAUAACAGUUAGAAAUAGCUGCUAAUACCGCAUAAGCGCACAGGGCCGCAUGGCCUGGUGUGAGAAACUCCGGUGGUGUAAGAUGGACCCGCGUCUGAUUAGCUAGUUGGUGAGGUAACGGCCCACCAAGGCGACGAUCAGUAGCCGGCGUGAGAGGGUGAACGGCCACAUUGGGACUGAGACACGGCCCAAACUCCUACGGGAGGCAGCAGUGGGGAAUAUUGCACAAUGGGGGAAACCCUGAUGCAGCGACGCCGCGUGAGUGAAGAAGUAUUUCGGUAUGUAAAGCUCUAUCAGCAAGGAAGAAAAUGACGGUACUUGACUAAGAAGCCCCGGCUAACCACGUGCCAGCAGCCGCCGUAA